This 1627-nucleotide ribosomal RNA is filed under the name Triticum aestivum (bread wheat). RNAcentral's name for it is "partial small subunit ribosomal RNA". The record is from RNAcentral. Lineage: Eukaryota; Viridiplantae; Streptophyta; Magnoliopsida; Poales; Poaceae.
GGUCCGAUGUUUUUCUCUACCACUGUUACUAUGAAAAGUAUCAGAAAUAAUGUACUGUUUAGUUAAUAGAAGUUUUUAUUGAUAAUCACCUGGAUUGUAUGAAACAACCGAUCCUUUAGUUUUCCUUUCGUGGCUAGGUGUUCUAACUGGAUACCCUACUUCGAGUAUUCUUUUUUCUACCGUUAAUGUGUUCGCUGUUACACUUCUGUUAUUACCAUGUAAGAUGAAUAAAACAGAUGUCAGGUUGUAUGUUACAUAAGGUAUCAUAUCAUUACUUAAUUAUUAAUAAGGAUAAGUUAUCCUACGUCGAUUACUCCUCAAUUUUUUAUCCUUUUAGCUAGUAUUACCAUCGGAAAGGUAACUGCUAAUAUGACUUCGGAAAUUUCCACGUGAACUAUUUUUUCCCGUUUUGAAGCUCCAAUGAUACUACUUUUCAUAACCUCGCCUCAUUUACAAAGAGUCCCUUAUUGAAAACAACCCUUUAGACUGGUUCUUUUAGAAGUCAAACUUCAUGCGUACCACUUUCUAUUACAUCUUCUACAGUUUCUACUACAUCUCCUGCAGUUUCCACUACAUUUCCUUCAGUUUCCACUACAUCCCCUACAGUCUCCAGUCUACCGAUACUAACGACGUAAGGAACGGUUUUUCAAAGGACCUCUCUAAACGUCUUUACUUCACCUAAGAGGAUGUCCUUUAAUAGUUCAAUCGUAUAGUUUUCGUCAAUAUAAACACGUUUCUACUUUAAUUACUUGUGACUAUACGAUAAUGUUAUUAAAAUAACGUCCAGUGAGGUGUACUGUCUCUAUUGUUAGAGGUUAGACUUAGAAUAUUACAAGAACUUGUUAGUUUAUUACUACACGUCCUCGGUGUUUGAUGGUACGUCCAUUACAUUACCCGAAAAAUACAUGAUAAAUUACGUCUAGGUAAGAUUACAGAAUCUUGAUAACGAAAUUAUCCUCAACGUCGUUUGCUUUAGUUUUCUCCCAACACCGUUACGCGUAAAUGGUGUACUUGUACACUAGUGAUUCCACACAAUUGAUUGAACAUGAGUUAAUAGUUAAUAGAGGACGGUCAUUAAAACCCUAACCAACUUGGGAAAAUCAUCAAUUUAUAACCUUUCGAUAGAAUAGUAGUUCAAUUUUGAAACACUUUAUAAUUGGAAAACCAAACGUUGACAUUGGACAAACCCAAGCAUAUAUGGAAGGAUCAUUAGAAUUGGAUGCACGUUCCUGAAUAGAUCUAAAAAUAGUUACUACUGCUACUGUAGAAAAGGAUAAUUUAGCGUCUUACAGGUACGACUUUUAUUAGAACGUCACGUCGUUCCACCGGGACUUGGUUCAAAUGCUGAAGUGGUUCAGUGAUUGGUCCAUUUGUAUACGAUGUAUAGAUUUACUGUUACUAACAUGUUCUCCAACAGAUUAAAACAUACAUUCACGUUCCAUUUACUGUAAUAAUACUUUGUGGUUAGGGUAAAACUGUUCCAGCAAAGUUUUUUACAGCACUGUGGCGAUCGUCUAGUAUUCAGCCUAAGUUGGUUCAUAAUUUUUUAACAUAACGUAUGUUGUCGUUGUACUAAACCGGGCUACCCUGGUUUUCAAUCAGUGUGUGCAUAGUAACGACGAGGUUC